GUGCCAGCCGCCGCGGUAAUACGUAGAGUGCAAGUGUUAAUCGGAAUUACUGGGCGUAAAGCGUGCGCAGGCGGUUUUGUAAGUCUGAUGUGAAAUCCCCGGGCUCAACCUGGGAAUUGCAUUGGAGACUGCAAGGCUAGAAUCUGGCAGAGGGGGGUAGAAUUCCACGUGUAGCAGUGAAAUGCGUAGAGAUGUGGAGGAACACCGAUGGCGAAGGCAGCCCCCUGGGUCAAGAUUGGCGCUCAUGCACGAAAGCGUGGGGAGCAAACAGGAUUAGAAACCCGUGUAGUCC
This 292-nucleotide ribosomal RNA is filed under the name uncultured bacterium. RNAcentral describes it as "partial 16S ribosomal RNA". It matches the Rfam family "Bacterial small subunit ribosomal RNA", at positions 505 to 796 of the family's 1533-position model. The record is from RNAcentral.